UCACUGUAUGGGGCCUCGGAUCACGGGAGAAGCCAGAGUGGGGCUUUCUCCCAUCAAGAGGGGGAAGGGAAGAAAGGGAAAGAAGGGCAGCCCACUUCUCAUGGAACUCACCGCUGUCCUCGGCUGGCGGUGCUCAAGGCUCGUCUUUUUCUCCCAAGGAGCACAAACUCUCCAAUGGAAUUGCAGCAGGUUCAGGCUGGAGGUAGGAGCAGCCUGCAGGCAAGCCGAGGCGAGUGGUCAGAAACGACCAGGUUGAGAGGAAGAAAAAACGGCCUCAAAGCUUUUCCAAAUGCGCACAGCCUCCCUGUCUCCAUUCAAGUAGAGAAACCAAACUGUUCUCCCGUUUGUGAGGAGGGCAGCAGCAAAAACUCCUCCUCCUUCCCUCUAGUCUUAGGAGUCAGAAGUUCUUCUGGGCCUUAUCAUAUACAUCAGGGAUGGGGUUUGUCACUAACAGCUUUACAAAGGUGUUACUUCUCAUCAUCUACAAUGCGUCCCACUGCUGUCACACACCUAACCUCUUCCCGUGAUUACAUGGUUCAUAAACACCUCUUCAGAAGGCUGGAUUUCCCAAAUACAUACACACAAAGUGUGGGUGGUACAGCCAGCUAAGCUGGUGUUUAUGCAGAGGUACAAAAAUGCUCCUCUUUGGUUGACUGAGAAGUCUUUUCAAACAAAAAGCACUCCAGUCUAAGACCUUCAAUCCAGUGAUACAGAAAAAUACUUUUUUAUUUCUUCAGAUAUUGUGGCUUUGAGAACUUCAGCUUUAUCUCCAUGUUCCCAUAUCUGUUUCAGUGCAGGCAAAGUCACUCCUGGUCUUUUUAUCUUGUCUUUGCAUCCUGCUGAGAUAGCAAUGCUGAAGCCAGAAGCUGCUGAAAUGAAAGGUUUUGCUGCCUGUUUUGUCACAGUAAAUGGGUUGUGGAAAGGAAACAUUUGAGGGUGGUGACUCCAAGAAGUCAUCUCAGCAUUAGUUUCUGUUGCAGGAGUGCCAGACAUCUCUUAAAAACAGCUCUCAUAGCCCUUGGAGAUGACAUUCAUGGAAGACAGAUCCAACUUCAACUUCUAUGUGCUUUUCUAGCAGUAAAAAUACUUAUUUUCUGGAAACUUUAGUUUAACUCUUUAGAAUAAGUUUGCAGGGAGAAAAUAACUAACAAACUUUUAAUAUACAACAAAUUGAUCUGGUUAUAGCUAUUUGUUGCUGGUUCCGCUCUUUCAGCUGCACCAGCCAUGGGAAUAAAUCCAAUCUGUUUUGAAAGAGGAACACACUCCUAAUCCUUAGAUGUACAGAAAACCUUUUUAAAUUCAAAGUGUAGCUUGAGAAUUAUUGGAGAGCUCAGGUAGCAAAAAUUAGCGCAGACCUGUGCAAGACGUCUCAUUCCUUAUACCUGAGGAAUGCAAGUGAUGCAACCUUCUUAGCAUUAGAAUUAACUAACACUGACAGCUGAAGCUAAAAUAAAAUUGUCACCUACCACCGAAUAUCUAAGAUCUUUAAACAUGAUGUGUGCUGACUUCUUAAAAGUCAUUUCUAUCUGUUGAGCAUUUUAAAGAAUGGAGUUUCUUCAUAAAGAGGUGGGGGGACAUAUCUAUUUUUCCUCCCCAGUAGCUGCACUGUGACGUCAUUUGCAUGUUAGACAGCUUUGGAGCUACCACAAACUAAUAUUAACUCUCUUUAUAUUGGUGAAAAUAAUAAGAUCAUUCUGAUUUAUACCAGUAGGCUUUUAUUUUGUCCAUUUCUGACACGACUCAGUUUGUAGAUGUGUGUAAGGACCUUAACUUUUAAGGAUUUGCAUGACACAAGCCAUGAAGGCACCCCAGUUAUUGCUGCCAGAAGGGAAGCUUCACCUGGGCAGCGAGCUGUACUCAUACAAGCACUCCACUGCUGUAUCCCAGCCAUUGCCACACAAACUGCAUUGUGCAUGAAAUACAAUAGCAGAAUAUUAUCCCAUGCUAAUAACGGCAACCAGCUGAAGUACUCUCUGCUGUGGGAUGAGAGUGAGCUAAACCAGCUGUGUAGUUAAGGAUAUGAAACCAGGGGGAAAUUGGUACAGAUUGGUGAAACUCCCUCCAAAACCACUGACGAUGUGAAAUAUGGAUUUCCUAAAAUAUGAAAGGAAUGACUUGUUCUCCCAUCAUUAGCGGCUGAAGGCAAAUACUCGUGAUAUUGAAUUAACAAAACUACUACCUUUAUAAUACCAUGGCUGAAGGCUCUUCAGGGAAGACACUGACUCAUAUGACUGCUCUUGCUCAUCCUUUUCAGCCUGAGCAGGAGAAGGACGUGCACAGAGGUAUGACACAUGCUGCUUUGAAUCUCAAGCAACUGGGGGAGGUACCAUUGUUUCAGAUACUAACCUCAGUGUCAGGAACAAACUGAUAUGCUGGUCAAUUCUAGGAUUUUGAAUGUGAAUAUUUACAUUAGUAAAAUAGGCAACCUUAUUUUGCAUUAAUUUUCAAUUUCUCUUCUUAUUUACCCCUUUUCUAAAAAAUGAAAGGUCAAAAGUAGAGAUGAACAGGUAAAUUGGAGGAGGAGAGGAAUUGGAAUUGAUAGCUGAAUCAAAAACUUGGAGGGGAAAAUAAUUGUCUUGCAUCUUCUUUUUCUUUGGUUGGAGUUUUUUUUACUUUAAAGCGAAGGGGGGGAAAAAGCCCAUCAGUUUGAAUUCAAAGAAGGCCUUUUGUAUGAAACAUGCUCUGUGAAGUUUUGGGGUUAUUGCACUACUUUGUGGAUGCAUUUUCACAAUUUAAAAAUGUUAUGCACAGGUGAAAAUACAAAAGGAUCGUUAUUUUUUUUAUUGAGAAAGCAAAACCAAACUGGUUUAGUUCCUUCAAAUCCUUCCCCUAACCUCUUUUGUUUUGACAAAAGCUGUUAUUUAGAUUUGCUCUGGAUUUCUGGGUUGUUUUAGUAGAGAUUUGUGUUUCUGGUCAAUUUUAUUAUAUGUCCAUAUCAAUGCAACCAGUGUGCAGUAAUAAAAAAGACAAAAAUAAGGAUCUAUUUUCAUAACUCUCAGAAGACUUUUCUAAAAACUUGUCUUCCUGCUUUCUAGUUAAUUGAAAUUUCCUUCCCUUGACUCACUACUUUCAAGGGCAAAACCAAAGGGCAUCUUCUGGGCUCAGUUCCCAUAGAGGAAUGUGCAUGUAGUUGCUGCCCACUGCCUGGGAAUGUAUUUUCUAAAGAUCUCUCCUGGUUGUUUUCAAAUAUAUUUGUUAUUUUUUUUUAUUUUGUUUAAUCAACUGUUUUCUCAUUGGUUUUAUUUACACAGUGUAACAUGCAUACAAAUAGCAGUAUAUAAACUAUAACAUGAAAUUACCACAUAGCCAAAUUUCUGCUAAUACAUGCUUACUUUUUCUUCUCCACCCCCCAAAACAUCCCAACAUUAAAGCAAAAUAAAAGAAAAAUACAAACCAA
Long non-coding RNA from Corapipo altera (White-ruffed manakin), 3397 nucleotides. RefSeq lists it as uncharacterized. The record is from RefSeq and is a predicted model, not a curated record. The transcript is spliced from 4 exons. NCBI's taxonomy places the organism in Eukaryota, Metazoa, Chordata, Aves, Passeriformes, Pipridae.